AGUGAACGCUGGCGGUAGGCCUAACACAUGCAAGUCGAACGGCAGCACAGUAAGAGCUUGCUCUUACGGGUGGCGAGUGGCGGACGGGUGAGGAAUACAUCGGAAUCUACUUUUUCGUGGGGGAUAACGUAGGGAAACUUACGCUAAUACCGCAUACGACCUACGGGUGAAAGCAGGGGAUCUUCGGACCUUGCGCGAUUGAAUGAGCCGAUGUCGGAUUAGCUAGUUGGCGGGGUAAAGGCCCACCAAGGCGACGAUCCGUAGCUGGUCUGAGAGGAUGAUCAGCCACACUGGAACUGAGACACGGUCCAGACUCCUACGGGAGGCAGCAGUGGGGAAUAUUGGACAAUGGGCGCAAGCCUGAUCCAGCCAUACCGCGUGGGUGGAGAAGGCCUUCGGGUUGUAAAGCCCUUUUGUUGGGAAAGAAAAGCAGCAGGUUAAUACCCCGCUGUUCUGACGGUACCCAAGGAAUAAGCACCGGCUAACUUCGUG
RNAcentral lists this ribosomal RNA (492 nucleotides) under uncultured bacterium. Its description in RNAcentral is "partial 16S ribosomal RNA". It matches the Rfam family "Bacterial small subunit ribosomal RNA", at positions 29 to 507 of the family's 1533-position model. The record is from RNAcentral.